UACGUAGGGUGCAAGCGUUGUCCGGAAUUAUUGGGCGUAAAGAGCUCGUAGGCGGUUUGUCGCGUCUGCUGUGAAAACUCGGGGCUUAACCCCGGGCCUGCAGUGGGUACGGGCAGACUAGAGUGCGGUAGGGGAGACUGGAAUUCCUGGUGUAGCGGUGAAAUGCGCAGAUAUCAGGAGGAACACCAGUGGCGAAAGCGGCUUCCUGGUCCAGCACCGACGUUCAGGCACGAAAGCGUGGGGAGCAAACAGG
This 253-nucleotide ribosomal RNA is filed under the name uncultured bacterium. RNAcentral's name for it is "partial 16S ribosomal RNA". It matches the Rfam family "Bacterial small subunit ribosomal RNA", at positions 524 to 776 of the family's 1533-position model. The record is from RNAcentral.